AUUGAACGCUGGCGGCACGCUUAACACAUGCAAGUCGAGCGGUAACAUGACUAGUAGCAAUACUAGUUGAUGACGAGCGGCGGACGGGUGAGUAACACGUAGGAACUUGCCAAAUAGAGGGGGACAACCAAGGGAAACUUUGGCUAAUACCGAAUAUACUCGCGAGAGGAAAGCUGCCAGCUAUGGUGGCGCUAUUGGAGAGGCCUGCGUCCGAUUAGUUAGUUGGUGAGGUAAAGGCUCACCAAAGCUGGGAUCGGUAACUGGUCUGAGAGGACGACCAGUCACACUGGGACUGAGACACGGCCCAGACUCCUACGGGAGGCAGCAGUGGGGAAUCUUGGACAAUGGGGGCAACCCUGAUCCAGCGAUGCCGCGUGAGUGAAGAAGGCCUUCGGGCCGUAAAGCUCUUUAGUUCGGGAGGAAGGUUAGUAGUUUAAGAGAUAACUAAUUUGACUGUACCGAAGGAAUAAGCACCGGCAAACUCUGUGCCAGCCGCCGCCGUAA
Molecule: ribosomal RNA, 504 nt
Filed under: uncultured bacterium
Lineage: Bacteria
Description: partial 16S ribosomal RNA
Rfam family: Bacterial small subunit ribosomal RNA
Source: RNAcentral